This 1400-nucleotide small RNA is filed under the name Pongo abelii (Sumatran orangutan). Its description in RNAcentral is "processed transcript". The record is from RNAcentral. Lineage: Eukaryota; Metazoa; Chordata; Mammalia; Primates; Hominidae.
UGGCCGGGCCGGGGCCCCCAGCGGGGAGAGAGCCGGCCAGUUCCUGGGUCGCAGGGGCCUCCAGCGGCCGAGGUCGGCGCUUCGGGCGACGUUGGGCUCCUCCUGGCACCCUGACGUGCAGCAGGCCCAGGCCACGGUUCGCGGAGAGCGUCGGGCGCUAGUCCUCAAGGUCUCCCGGCUCUGCCCUUGCAGAGCUCAGUGGGGGAGACGUGCGUGCGCUUCCCUCGGGCAGGGCCGCUGCCCUCCUCUGCCCUUCACCCCAGACACCCUGGGGCAGUGGGGCCUCCUCUCCUCCGGUUGCUUCUGCUUUUCCUAACCCAGUGCCCUCCCGAGACCACAGGAGACUCAGUCUGGCCACUGUGGCCUCCCCGUGACCAUGACCCAGAGUUUGGACAGCCCUGCAGGGCUGGACGUUUGGCUUUGGCUCAGUUCCUCCACCGUUCCCUUCAUUUAUCCUGUGCAUCUCCCAGGCCUGUGGAUUUUGCUGUGGCCCCAAGCCGGCCCGAAGGCUCUUGGAGAGGUGGUAGGGUCAUGGCCUGAGGCGGUGCUGGGGAGGAGAGCUCGGGCCAGGAGUUCAGGGCAGCUACAGGUGGGGGGGUGCCGAGCCACCCUCAGCCUGCUCCCUGCCUACCUCUCAGACAGGUGUGGAGGCCUGUGGGGACAGGUGUGGAGGCUCCAGCGGGGCGGGGGCUCUCUGGGGCUCCAUCCCAGUGAGUGCCCCUCUCAGCUGAGGAGAAACCGAGAGCGGCGCUGGGGCACCUGAGCCCAGGAAGGCAACAGGCCGGCCGGGACCGCGAGUGCCUGGCGGAGCAGGCGCAGCCCAGGACUCCCGGCUCCCACCUCCGGCUGUAGUCCAGGGCCAAGGCUUGUGUUCAAUCGUGUGAAUGGCCGGCGGGCCCCCUCCACGUCCCCAUCCCUCGAGGGGACCCAGGAGACCUACACACUGGCCCACGAGGAGAAUGUCCGCUUUGUGUCCGAAGCCUGGCAGCAGGUGCAGCAGCAGCUGGAUGGUGGCCCAGCCGGUGAGGGCGGGCCAAGGCCUGUGCAGUACGUGGAGAGGAUCCCCAAUCCCCGGCUGCAGAACUUCGUGCCCAUUGACCUAGACGAGUGGUGGGCGCAGCAGUUCCUGGCGAGAAUCACCAGCUGUUCCUAGUGGCUGCUGGGAGGGGGCGCUGCUACACGGCUGACCUGACGCCAGGAGAGAAGCAUGGCGCCCUGCCCACCCACUGCAUCUGGCUGGGUGCCGGCCACACCUGAAGUGCCAGCAUUUGGACUUUUGCACCUGUUUUUCCCUUGGCCCGGCUGUCCCAACCAAGCUGCCAUGGCCAGGGGCCGAGCCCGUCUGACCUCAGCCCUGCUCACUGUGCCCAGGGACCAGCGACCAGCCCCUGGGGCUAGCA